AGGCGCACGCGCGACUUCCGCCGUUCCGACUCCCGGGGUACGGAGUGCGGAGCGUGCGGACCCGACGUACUGGAGAUCGAACUCAGGACCUUGCGCUUGCCUGCCAGGCCCAGUGCCCCUGAGCUACAUCCUAGACCUUGCUUGUUUAUUUUUAAAAGGGAAAUCCUAAACAGGGAACACAGACCUUCCAUCAGGCCACUCCAGAGGCACGGGCGGAGGAAUGGCAACAGCUUGUAAGAGGGGCCACUCUUGGUAAGCGGGCUCCUUCCCAGAAUGUGCUUUCCUGCAACCCAGAGGGCCUGUGCAGAACUGACCUUCAGGGCCCCAAACUGGAGACAUGCUGAUGUGCCUUCUGCUUUGUUGACUUGAUUAGGCUGGGAUCUGAGGUGCUAAUCAGUAUGUUUUCUCCUGUUCCUAAGUAGCUCUUAUGAUAUUGGACUUUUUUUUUUUGGUACUGGGGAUUGAACUCGGGUCCUUGAGCUUUUGAGGCAGGCGGCAGAACCACUGGGCUAAAUCCUCGGCCCUGUUUCUCUUUUUAUUAGUUUGCUUUGAUCACUGUCACUGUUUCAUGAAACCAUCACUGCCCCACCGGCUUGCAUACACUUGCUAAAUAAAUAUGCGUCAACUGAGAGGUCUUUGUCUUUGCCCAAUAUGAGGCACUAACCUCCUUGUGCUCUUGUACCCCCAAAGUUGUCUUUCGCUUCAUCUCUUGUC
Molecule: long non-coding RNA, 714 nt
Organism: Heterocephalus glaber (naked mole-rat)
Lineage: Eukaryota; Metazoa; Chordata; Mammalia; Rodentia; Bathyergidae
Source: Ensembl